GUAUUAACCAUCCCUAGCCCCAAAUAUUGGAAGGUGGAAAACCAGGCCAAACGUGUAUGACUGAGUGAGCAUGGCCUCAACCAAUGAAAGUCUGCCCCUGAAAAAUUAUCUCUCAGAUGAACACAGAAUGGAUAUGUCUGGAGAUUGACUGACUCUUAAGGACUAAGCACAGAGACGUUAACCGGCAUUCAGAUUUGUGGUUCGCUGGUUUCCUGAGAGCGGAUCCUGGUGCACAGAAAGGCUUCUUCUCACUGCCAUCCUUCAGCAGGGCUUUUGCUUUGGCUCAAAGAAACUGCUUACAGAGAAAGGGAGAGGAAAGCAUAUGCAGAUUUCUUCAGGCGGAUCGUGUUCAUAAGGAUAAAGCACCACGCUGUGGGUUGGUCCCAGCUCUCAAUUCUUUCCAGGAAAAAGAGGCACAGGCCACUCGUUUGUUUCUUCCGUGUGCUCUUUUAAUCUGCGUACCUGACGGUCCGCUUGGGGUUUAUUCCGCGUGCCAGGGGCACCGAAAUAGUAACGCAGUUGCAAGAGAGCAGCAGUGAGAGACUGCGCUGUGACUCGGGCUGGGGUUUAAACCGUACAUUGUCAGUGUCUUCAUUCUGAAAAUUGAAAUACCUCCUCUCUGUCUAAAAGGACUACUGUGAGAUAACACAUGUAAAAUAAUUUUAUAAAAUAAAGCAUGAUAGAAAUACGAAUUAUUAUUCAUAAUCAAUAUUGUUAAUAACAACGUCGUAUGGAUUCAGGUCUCAGUGUUUUGAAAAUUUCUUUCCCGAGAGAUAAGCAUUUCUGCAUUGGCUGCCUAUACAUUUAAUCCACCAGUUAGGAGUCUCUUCCAGCUAGCUGGUCCUCCUGUUGAACUGCAGAGUCUCUUAGGCCUCCAUUCACAGACAAGACUGUCCCUCUGGUUAGCCACACCCGGGGUUUAGAAUUAAUGCCGCAUUCAUCCUGGCUUCCACCUGCAGUCACAUUUAGGUAAAAAGGGAAAUUGUGACAUGUAUAUAUGUCACAGU
RNAcentral lists this long non-coding RNA (1007 nucleotides) under Chinchilla lanigera (long-tailed chinchilla). RNAcentral describes it as "lncRNA (ENSCLAG00000024844.1)". The record is from RNAcentral. Lineage: Eukaryota; Metazoa; Chordata; Mammalia; Rodentia; Chinchillidae.